Molecule: long non-coding RNA, 343 nt
Organism: Lathyrus oleraceus (garden pea)
Lineage: Eukaryota; Viridiplantae; Streptophyta; Magnoliopsida; Fabales; Fabaceae
Exons: 3
Source: RefSeq, a predicted model, not a curated record
CCCAACGAGAUAUCCAAACCUCAAGGAGGGGCGCCAACUCCAUUACAUGGAUUAAAGUGGCGUGUCCUCAACAACGUAAUCAAAUAGAUUGCGGGUAUUUCAUGUUGAGGUUUAUGCGAGAUACUCUUGCUUUGGGCCGAUUAAAGAUUCUCACCGAUUACUUUGAUGAAUUCAAGUGUGCAUUUUAUACAAAGGAUCAAGUGGACGAAAUCAAAGAGGAGUGGUGUCAAUUCAUGAUAAAGCUCGAUGUUUGUUCAUAAAUUUGUGUAAUUAAUGUGUACAUUUGUAGUAUAUGUUAUGACUUGUAAAUGUGUACAUAAAUUUGUAUAUAUUUUGAUACAUU